UCCACUUGCUUUCAUCUUUGAAAGGUAACUUUCACAAUUCCUCAUAUAAUCUGUUUUUUUUUUUUAGUGUAUAGGUUUUGAUACCAGAAUAAUUCAAGAACUUAAUCUUUGGUCAACCAACAUAAACAUAUUCAAACAUGGUAGACACCAUCAUACUAGCACCAAACAUGCUGCUGUUGGCGAUCAAGUCUUAGGCUCCUUGUUGGCUUUAGCUUCUUGCCUAGCAUUUGCAAUUUGGUACAUAAUUCAUGUAAGUUUUUUUUUACAUAAUCAUUUUUAUUAGGUGCAUUCAGUAUGUGCAUUAAAAGUGAAUCUAAUUGUUGGAUAUACUCGGACUAGAAAAUGAAUUCGAUUUAGAGGAAUUAAUCAAAUUAAGCUUACGUCUCAAACUAAUCGAGUAUGUUUAAAUUAUUCUUGUUAUGUUUGCGCAUUAUUCUUUCUUUCUUUUUUCCUUUUGCAGGUUUCUUAUUUUUGUUACUUUUCUUAUUUCCAUUCUUAUUUUGCAGCCUGCAGCGUGUUGUAAAUCGUUAAGACAAGAAAAGCAUUGAUCUCCAAUGGGGUGGAUUGAAGAAAAUAUGAAAUCAACUCAUAUUAGACAAAUUCUCUCUCAAGCCAUCAGCCUCG
RNAcentral lists this long non-coding RNA (624 nucleotides) under Gossypium barbadense (sea-island cotton). RNAcentral's name for it is "long non-coding RNA (GBAR_LNC015288)". The record is from RNAcentral. Lineage: Eukaryota; Viridiplantae; Streptophyta; Magnoliopsida; Malvales; Malvaceae.